GAUAAAUACUCACUUAUCCCCAAGAAUUAAUUAAUUAUCUAUUUGAUUUUUACAUCAAUGAAUCAUAGUAAGCAUGAGUUACUAUAUAUAAUCAUCUUAGAGAAAAAGUCAAAAGAUAUGCAUAAAUGACUCUAAAAUUAGCUAUAUCUACAUCAUGAACUUAUGGAUUUAAUUACUAACAUUUUAUAACCUUUUUCCAAGGUUUAUCACCUUGAGAAUCUAUUUCAAUUUAUCAGGAAUCAAGGUUCAAAAUUUUAGAAUUUUAUUCCAAGGAGAUUAACUUCUACAGACUUGUCAAAGUGACAAGGAACACCAUGGGAUGACAAAGUUGAUGGCCCAAGAAAGGGUAGAUUGGAGCACGAAAAAUUAGAUACAAUGUCUAAAAGAUAGGGCUUUACUAAGCCCACAAAAGGAUAGAGAAAGAAGGCCCAAGAAAGGCGUGGGUAUAUAAGCUUUGAAAAGGGCAAACAAAGGUCUUCUUUUUUUUCGCGCGCAAAAGGAGGUGGCGGCUGGGUGACAGGCAGCGGAGGCUUCAGGGUUGCAAGCACGA
This 550-nucleotide long non-coding RNA is filed under the name Spirodela polyrhiza (greater duckweed). RNAcentral's name for it is "long non-coding RNA (SPOL_LNC000029)". Lineage: Eukaryota; Viridiplantae; Streptophyta; Magnoliopsida; Alismatales; Araceae. The record is from RNAcentral.